GAUGAACGCUGGCGGCGUGCUUAACACAUGCAAGUCGAACGGAAAGGCCCUGCUUUUGUGGGGUGCUCGAGUGGCGAACGGGUGAGUAACACGUGAGUAACCUGUCCUUGACUUUGGGAUAACUUCAGGAAACUGGGGCUAAUAUCGGAUAGGAGCUCUUGCUGCAUGGUGGGGGUUGGAAAGUUUCGGCGGUUGGGGAUGGACUCGCGGCUUAUCAGCUUGUUGGUGGGGUAGUGGCAUACCAAGGCUGUGACGGAUAGCCGGCCUGAGAGGGCGACCAGCCACAUUGGGACUAAGAGACGGCCCAGACUGCUACGGUAGGCAGCGGUCGGGAAUAUUACACAGUAGGCGGGAGCCUGAUACGACGGCGCCGCGUUCGGAAUGACGGCCUUCUGGUUAUGAACCGCUGUCGCCGUUGACGAAGCGGGAGUGACGGUAAUGAGUAAAGAAGCACCGGCUAACUACGUG
This 468-nucleotide ribosomal RNA is filed under the name uncultured bacterium. RNAcentral describes it as "partial 16S ribosomal RNA". It matches the Rfam family "Bacterial small subunit ribosomal RNA", at positions 28 to 507 of the family's 1533-position model. The record is from RNAcentral.